Molecule: ribosomal RNA, 443 nt
Filed under: uncultured Acidimicrobiales bacterium
Lineage: Bacteria; Bacillati; Actinomycetota; Acidimicrobiia; Acidimicrobiales
Description: bacterial SSU rRNA
Rfam family: Bacterial small subunit ribosomal RNA
Source: RNAcentral
CCUACGGGUGGCAGCAGUGGGGAAUCUUGCGCAAUGGGCGAAAGCCUGACGCAGCAACGCCGCGUGCGGGAAGAAGGCCUUCGGGUUGUAAACCGCUUUCAGUAGGGACGAAAACAGACGGUACCUACAGAAGAAGCCCCGGCCAACUACGUGCCAGCAGCCGCGGUAACACGUAGGGGGCGAGCGUUGUCCGGAUUUAUUGGGCGUAAAGAGCUCGUAGGCGGCUCAGUAAGUCAGGUGUGAAACCUCCAGGCUCAACCUGGAGACGCCACCUGAUACUGCUGUGGCUAGAGUCCGGUAGAGGAGCGUGGAAUUCCUGGUGUAGCGGUGAAAUGCGCAGAUAUCAGGAGGAACACCAACGGCGAAGGCAGCGCUCUGGGCCGGUACUGACGCUGAGGAGCGAAAGCGUGGGUAGCAAACAGGAUUAGAUACCCGGGUAGUCC